GUGUUGUACGAAAAGGACAGAAGGUUAGCACUCCCCUUGACAAGGAUGGAAGAGGCUCUCGGACCUGCACAACACCCACAAAAAAAUUUUUU
RNAcentral lists this non-coding RNA (92 nucleotides) under Prolemur simus (greater bamboo lemur). Lineage: Eukaryota; Metazoa; Chordata; Mammalia; Primates; Lemuridae. The record is from RNAcentral.